CCUACGGAGGCAGCAGUGGGGAAUAUUGCACAAUGGGGGAAACCCUGAUGCAGCGACGCCGCGUGAGUGAAGAAGUAUUUCGGUAUGUAAAGCUCUGUCAGCAGGGAAGAAAAUGACGGUACCUGACCAAGAAGCGCCGGCUAACUACGUGCAAGCAGCCGCGGUAAGACGUAGGGGGCAAGCGUGAUCCGGAUUUACUGGGUGUAAAGGGAGCGUAGACGGCAGGGCAAGUCUGGAGUGAAAGGCGGGGGCGCAACCCCCGGACGGUUCUGGAAACUGCCAGGCUGGAGUGCAGGAGAGGUAAGUGGAAUUCCUAGUGUAGCGGUGAAAUGCGUAGAUAUUAGGAGGAACACCAGUGGCGAAGGCGGCUUACUGGACUGUAACUGACGUUGAGGCUCGAAAGCGUGGGGAGCAAACAGGAUUAGAUACCCGAGUAGUC
This 439-nucleotide ribosomal RNA is filed under the name uncultured bacterium. RNAcentral's name for it is "partial 16S ribosomal RNA". It matches the Rfam family "Bacterial small subunit ribosomal RNA", at positions 338 to 795 of the family's 1533-position model. The record is from RNAcentral.